RNAcentral lists this ribosomal RNA (371 nucleotides) under uncultured Glomus. RNAcentral's name for it is "SSU rRNA". It matches the Rfam family "Eukaryotic small subunit ribosomal RNA", at positions 569 to 945 of the family's 1831-position model. Lineage: Eukaryota; Fungi; Glomeromycota; Glomeromycetes; Glomerales; Glomeraceae. The record is from RNAcentral.
AGCAGCCGCGGUAAUUCCAGCUCCAAUAGCGUAUAUUAAAGUUGUUGCAGUUAAAAAGCCCGUAGUUGAAUUUCGGGGUCAGUAGGUUGGUCAUGCCUCUGGUAUGUACUGGUCUCACUGAUUCCUCCUUCCUGAUGAGCCGUAAUGCCAUUAAUUUGGUGUUGCGGGGAAUUUGGACUGUUACUUUGAAAAAAUUAGAGUGUUUAAAGCAAGCUAACGCUUGAAUACAUUAGCAUGGAAUAAUGAAAUAGGACGUUCGAUCCUAUUUUGUUGGUUUCCAGGAUUGACGUAAUGAUUAAUAGGGAUAGUUGGGGGCAUCAGUAUUCAAUUGUCAGAGUGAAAUUCUUGGAUUUAUUGAAGACUAACUAACU